This 774-nucleotide ribosomal RNA is filed under the name Bacillus sp. STR14. RNAcentral's name for it is "bacterial SSU rRNA". It matches the Rfam family "Bacterial small subunit ribosomal RNA", at positions 566 to 1338 of the family's 1533-position model. Lineage: Bacteria; Bacillati; Bacillota; Bacilli; Caryophanales; Bacillaceae. The record is from RNAcentral.
CGCGCGCAGGCGGUUCCUUAAGUCUGAUGUGAAAGCCCCCGGCUCAACCGGGGAGGGUCAUUGGAAACUGGGGAACUUGAGUGCAGAAGAGGAGAGCGGAAUUCCACGUGUAGCGGUGAAAUGCAUAGAGAUGUGGAGGAACACCAGUGGCGAAGGCGGCUCUCUGGUCUGUAACUGACGCUGAGGCGCGAAAGCGUGGGGAGCGAACAGGAUUAGAUACCCUGGUAGUCCACGCCGUAAACGAUGAGUGCUAAGUGUUAGAGGGUUUCCGCCCUUUAGUGCUGCAGCAAACGCAUUAAGCACUCCGCCUGGGGAGUACGGCCGCAAGGCUGAAACUCAAAGGAAUUGACGGGGGCCCGCACAAGCGGUGGAGCAUGUGGUUUAAUUCGAAGCAACGCGAAGAACCUUACCAGGUCUUGACAUCCUCUGACAACCCUAGAGAUAGGGCUUUCCCCUUCGGGGGACAGAGUGACAGGUGGUGCAUGGUUGUCGUCAGCUCGUGUCGUGAGAUGUUGGGUUAAGUCCCGCAACGAGCGCAACCCUUGAUCUUAGUUGCCAGCAUUAAGUUGGGCACUCUAAGGUGACUGCCGGUGACAAACCGGAGGAAGGUGGGGAUGACGUCAAAUCAUCAUGCCCCUUAUGACCUGGGCUACACACGUGCUACAAUGGAUGGAACAAAGGGCAGCGAAGCCGCGAGGUGAAGCCAAUCCCAUAAAACCAUUCUCAGUUCGGAUUGCAGGCUGCAACUCGCCUGCAUGAAGCCGGAAUCGCUAG